This 665-nucleotide long non-coding RNA is filed under the name Pan troglodytes (chimpanzee). RNAcentral describes it as "lincRNA". Lineage: Eukaryota; Metazoa; Chordata; Mammalia; Primates; Hominidae. The record is from RNAcentral.
GCUCACAGGUAAGGUUAUAACAUAUCACUAAGCCUGGUACUUAAUGAUGUGACUCUCUGAUCCUGUUUGUGCCCUGCCCUCAAGAAGCAUUGUGACAUCACUGGGCUAAGCAACAAGGUUACUGGGAUCUCAAUGUAGAUGUUAUGUCCAGACAGAGGCUGCUGUGAGCUGAAUCGUCUGCUUCCCAAAAUUCCUAUGUUGACACCUUAACCCCCAGCACCUAAGAAUGUGACUGUAUUUGGAGAUAGCAUCAUCACAGAGUCUCAGGGAUGUCUUUAUCAGCAGUAUGAAAAUGAACCAAUUCAUCCCACUUCACUGUUUGAAGAAAAACUGCUGGCUCUAUGGGGUCUUCAAUUUACUGAAUGAUUCCUAGAUGCCUGGCCCUAAUUCACUCGAGAGUCAAGAAAGGUGCCACCUUAUGGUGCUCACUGGGCGGUUGUGGAUGUCUAACCUCAGUGCUAGUCACACAGAACCUGAAGCCAGGCUGGCUGCUCCUGUAAAUGGCAUGGAAUCCCAGGGAAUAUCCUGCAUUCUCAGUGUCCAGCUGUCUGAUGCCACAGUUGUUUAUGAUGAUCGAGGACAACUACGUUUUUCUGAGGAGACUUACCACCUCAUGGCUGAGGCAUUCACAAAAAAUAGCUCACGUUAUGUUUUGCUUAUUUGCA